RNAcentral lists this ribosomal RNA (460 nucleotides) under uncultured bacterium. RNAcentral describes it as "partial 16S ribosomal RNA". It matches the Rfam family "Bacterial small subunit ribosomal RNA", at positions 338 to 795 of the family's 1533-position model. The record is from RNAcentral.
CCUACGGGUGGCAGCAGUGAGGAAUAUUGGUCAAUGGGCGCGAGCCUGAACCAGCCAAGUCGCGUGAGGGAAGACGGCCCUACGGGUUGUAAACCUCUUUUGCCGGGGAGCAACGUGCGCCACGUGUGGCUCCACUGAGAGUACCCGGAGACAAAGCAUCGGCUAACUCCGUGCCAGCAGCCGCGGUAAUACGGAGGAUGCGAGCGUUAUCCGGAUUUAUGGGGUUUAAAGGGUGCGUAGGCGGAGCGUUAAGUCAGUGGUCAAAUUGAGGGGAUCAACCCCUUCCCGCCAUUGAAACUGGCGCUCUUGAGUGGAAGAGAAGUAGGCGGAAUGCGUGGUGUAGCGGUGAAAUGCAUAGAUAUCACGCAGAACCCCGAUUGCGAAGGCAGCAUGCCGGCUUCCUACUGACGCUGAAGCACGAAAGCGUGGGGAUCGAACAGGAUUAGAUACCCGAGUAGUC